UAUUGUAUACAGAUGAUUGAUGAGAGAAGCACUAGAGCGAAUAUUACCAUGAGUCGUUCAGACUGCAUUAGGUGGUUCCGACUUAUGUGCAGAAGGCCGGACAGGUCACGCGGAGUGACUCCGGCAGAGAGUGAGAUUGAUAGAUGUUGAGCUCUAGGUUCAAUCGUUCAGGGCUAUUAGAGGGCCUCCGAUUGAUUAUUUCUUUUACCUGAUUUAUAUUAUGUCAAUGCAUUCAUACUAAACUGCUGAAUUUGGCAUGUUACAUUCUUUAUUGAAUCUGUUAUAAGAUUGUUGAUCGAGACAGUUGAGAUAUAUAUGCUAUAUACUAUUUUUAUGGGAAAGUAUACAGGUUUUCCAAAAAGGGGUUAUAAAUGUGGAUUUAUGAAAUGUUUUGGAAAAGCUUUAUUUUCGCCCACUCACGUUUUCUGUUUUUCGCCCCUCCAGGUUAUAGUUGAUAGUUGAGGCGUUGGUGGCCUACGAGGACUGCUUCGGCGUUCUGACAGACUAAAUAAAUGUAGGAUUCACCCGAGGGUGUUGUAAAAUAGUUAUGGUCCUACUUGACUGCACCUAGACGCUUAUGCUCUGUUUAUGUGUGUUUAGUACACUCUUAUGCACAUAGAAUGCUAGGUUGUAAAUAACUGCAAUUAGUGGUUUUCGUUGACUCGUAUUUUUUUUAUUAAAUCGUUUCCGCUUGCGUUAUGGUUACGUCACGCUCACGUGACGGCCAGCAUGUCCUAGUCUUCGGGUUAGGGUGUGUCAGUUUGGUAUCAGAGCAUAGGUUGCAGUCCUGUAUAACUAGUGAUUUUACUUAUUAAUUUUUGGAUGUUUUCUGUCAGAAUUAUGCCGCCUCGUAGAGAUCCUCGCCGUGCUGCUGAGCCUAAUUUCCCCGAUAUAACUCAGCUAGGGGCAGCAAUGGCUCAAGCUUUUCAGGCUAAUAUCCGUCCUCCUCAGAGAACGCCCGUAGAGACGAUGUAUAAUCUGAAACUGGAAACUUUUGAGGGAAAUGAAGGUUAUGAAGGGGCAGAAAAGUGGUUGGAUCGAAUUGAGCAGACCUUUCAAGUGAUGCAAAGUCAGGGAAACCUGCCAGCUAAUAGAUGGGUGGAGACCACCACCUGGUUUUUGGGCCGUGAGCCAGCGGCGUGGUGGAUAAAUCAGUCGAGGCACAUGGCACCUGAAAGGACAGCCGAAUGAGAGGUAUUUAAGGAAAAUUUUAUGAAGAGAUUUGUUCCUCCGGAAUAUAUAGAUCGCAAGAAACAGGAAUUCACCAGUCUGAAGCAGAGAAAUAUGUCCGCACAUGAGUACUACAGGAAGUUUACUGAUUUAUCCCGUUAUGAUCUGAUUUAGCGGGUAAUCAAGCAGAAAUGCUUCGUCGUUUCAAGCUAGGAUCUAAGAAGAAGUACAGAACGUUUGCCAAUGCACUUCCCUGUGCCGAUUAUCAUGAGUAUUUUGAGAUUCUGGUCCGGAUGGAAGACUCUGAUAAUCUUCCGGACAGUGAGGAUGAAGAGGAUAAGGGUAAUGGUCAGAAGAAAAAUGAGAAAGGUAAAGGUGUUUCCAUUCCAGGACCUCGUCAGACGUAGAAUUUCAAGAAAAGUGGAAUGAGUUCCAGUUCUUCCAGUGGUGGAUUUAGUGCCACAGGUCCGAGGAGAGGAGGUGGUAGGUUUGGUAAUGGACUUAGAUUUUCUGGUCAGAGAGGUUUUGGUGGUACUGGUAGUUCGGGUUCUCCGUUAUGUCGCCAUUGUAAUUUCCGACAUUAUGGGGAAUGUAGGAGAAUCAGUGGUGCAUGCUUUACAUGUGGUCAGACAGGACAUAGAGCUAUGAAUUGUCCCCAGAAUCAGCAGAGGCCCCAGCAGCUUGUUAGGCCAACACCAGCACCGACUCAACAGAACUUUAAUUCAGGCAAUUAUGGCCAGGGUGGUCGUGGUGGUGCUUAUCACUAUCAGGGUGAUGCUGCUCCUUAUGCUCCGGGACAGUAUCACUAUUCCCAGGAUCCUUAUUUUCAGAGUGGAUAUUCUCAGGAUCAAGGAGGUUAUACUUCAUAUCCGUCUAUGCCAGCUAGCGGAUCUCAGUGGUAUCAGGGGGGUCAGCCCCAACAGAGCGGAGUUGCUGCUAGUAGUACAGGGUCGUUUAGGCCGCCUGCCCAGGCAGGUCAAGGACGUACUCAUCAGGGACGAGGUAACCAGAGUGGCAGAGGUCGUGGAGGACGACAGUCAGCUCAGGGACGUGUUAACCACAUAUCGCUACAAGAUGCUCAGAACCAUCCAGACUUGAUUAUAGGUACGUUGAAUGUUCUUGGUCAUUUUGCUAGAGUCUUGAUUGAUUGUGGUGCUACACACUCUGUGAUUUCUCAUACAUUUGCUCAAAUAACGCAACCUCAUCCUUCACCUCUAGGGUUUGAUUUAGAGUUUGCUAUGCCUAGAGGGGAUAAAUGUUAUGUUGAUAGUUUUUACUCUGGGUGUCCAGUGAUGGUAGAUAAUGUCAUUAUGCCUGCUAAUCUUAUCCCGUUAGACAUCGUGGAUUUUGAUGUGAUUUUAGGGGCGGAUUGGUUGCAUUAUAAUCGCGCCCAUAUAGAUUGUUACGGGAAAUCAGUUACUUUUCUUCGUCCUGGACUACCCGAGGUUACAUUUGUGGGUGAAAGAAAUGGGGUGAGGCAUGGUGUUAUUUCAGCCAUAAGGGCAAAGAAGUUGUUAUCCAAGGGUUGUCAGGGAUACUUGGCACAUGUGGUGUUAAAUGAUGUUGAUUCCGGUAGUGUGGAGGAAGUCGGAGUAGUCAGACACUAUCCUGAUGUAUUUCCAGAUGAUUUACCUGGGUUGCCUCCAGAUAGAGAUGUGGAAUUUUCGAUUGAUUUGCUUCCAGGUACGAACCCUAUCUCUUUGACUCCUUAUAGAAUGGCACCAGCGGAAUUAAGAGAGUUGAAAAUUCAAUUGCAAGAGUUAAUUGAUAAAGGUUUCAUUCAGCCUAGUUCUUCACCUUGGGGAGCUCCGGUGUUGUUUGUAAGAAAGAAAGAUGGAACUUUGAGAUUGUGCAUUGAUUACAGGCAAUUGAAUCGGGUGACGAUUAAAAACCGUUAUCCCUUGCCUCGUAUAGAUGAUUUGUUUGAUCAACUCAAAGGUGCCUGUGUGUUUUCUAAGAUCGAUUUGAGGUCUGGGUAUUAUCAAUUAAAGAUUAAAGAUGAGGAUGUUCAUAAAACAGCUUUCAGGACUCGUUAUGGGCAUUAUGAGUUUUUGGUGAUGCCAUUUGGAUUAACGAACGCUCCUGCAGCUUUCAUGAGAUUGAUGAAUGAAGUAUUCCAGGAAUAUCUUGACAAGUUUGUUAUUGUUUUUAUUGAUGACAUCCUGGUAUAUUCUAAGUCGAAAUCAGACCAUAUUCGACAUCUUAACUUGGUGUUAAGGAAAUUGAGGGAACACCGAUUAUAUGCCAAAUUUAGUAAAUGUGAAUUUUGGCUGGAUCAAGUGGCAUUUUUGGGACAUGUAGUAUCAGCUCAGGGAAUUCAAGUGGAUCCUCAAAAGAUAGCAGCAGUGGAAAAUUGGGAACAACCUCGAACGGUCACUGAGGUGCGGAGUUUUCUUGGUUUGGCAGGUUAUUAUAGACGGUUUGUUCAAGACUUUUCUAUGAUUGCCUUGCCAUUAACGAAGUUAACCAGGAAGGAUGUUAAGUUUGAAUGGGAUGAAAGUUGUGAGCAAAGUUUCCAGCAGUUGAAGUAUUGCCUUACUCAUGCACCUGUGUUAGUACUUCCUGAUGAUGAUGGUAACUUCGAGAUCUUUAGUGAUGCUUCUUUGAAUGGUUUGGGUUGUGUUUUGAUGCAGCAGAGUAGAGUGAUUGCCUAUGCUUCUAGGCAGUUGAAGAUUCAUGAAAGAAACUAUCCGACUCACGAUCUUGAGUUGGCAGCUAUUGUGUUUGCUUUGAAGAUCUGGAGACAUUAUCUCUAUGGCGAGAAAUGUAAGAUCUUUACAGAUCAUAAAAGCCUUAAGUACCUUUUCACUCAGCAUGAUCUUAAUCUUCGUCAGAGAAGAUGGUUGGAAUUGUUAAGUGAUUAUGAUUGCACGAUUGAGUACCAUCCGGGUCGUGCAAAUGUGGUAGCUGAUGCUCUGAGUAGAAAACCUCAAGGGCGACUUAAUGCUUUGUAUGCCAGUCGUGUUCCUCUUCUGGCAGAGUUGAGAUCCACUGGAGUAGAAUUAGAAUGGGAAGAGCAAAGUGAAGCUUUUCUUGCCAAUUUUCAAGUCAAGCCAAUUUUAAUUGAUCGGGUGCUUACAGCUCAAUCGUUGGAUGAAGAAAUUCAAGAAUUGAUCAGUUUAAGAAAGGAAGGGAAGAAGAAAGAUCUCAAGAUCCGAGAAUCUGAUAGUAUGCUUAUGCAAGAGAACAGGAUGUAUGUGCCUAACAAUGAAGAACUGAAGAAAGAAAUCUUGGAUGAAGCACAUUGUUCGGCUUAUGCUAUGCACCCAGGAGGAACUAAAAUGUAUCAUACCAUUCGACCAUUCUACUAUUGGCCGGGUAUGAAGAGGGAGAUUGCGGAGUAUGUUAGUAGGUGUAUUGUCUGCCAGCAGGUUAAGGCUGAAAGAAAGAAGCCGUUUGGGAGAUUGCAACCACUUCCUGUUCCCCAGUGGAAAUGGGAGAAUAUAACGAUGGAUUUUGUGUAUAAGCUGCCACGUACACAAAAUGGUUUUGAUGGCAUUUGGGUGGUUGUAGAUCGACUUACCAAAUCAGCACAUUUUAUUCCAGUAAGGGAGAAGUAUCCUUUAAAUAAGUUGGCUCAGUUAUUCAUAUCGAAGAUUGUAAAGUAUCAUGGUGUCCCAGUGAAUAUUAUUUCUGAUCGAGAUCCAAGAUUUACUUCUAAGUUUUGGAUAGCUUUUCAAGAAGCUUUGGGUACUAGAUUGCUUUACAGUACAGCUUAUCAUCCACAGACAGAUGGUCAGUCGGAGAGAACUAUUCAGACACUCGAGGAUAUGUUGAGAUCCUCUGUGAUGCAAUUUGGUGAUUCUUGGCAUGAUCGUUUGGAUUUGAUGGAGUUUGCCUAUAAUAAUAGUUUUCAUUCGAGUAUUGGAAUGUCUCCAUUUGAAGCACUUUAUGGUAAAGCUUGCCGUACGCCAUUAUGUUGGUCAGAGGUUGGUGAAAGAAUACUUGAAGGGCCAGAGAUUGUGGAUGAGACUACUCAGAAUAUUCAGGUAAUUAAAUCUAACCUGAAAGUGGCCCAGGAUAGACAAAAGAGCCUAGCGGAUCGACAUACCACGGACAGAAUGUAUAAUGUGGGCGACUAUGUUUUUCUGAAAUUAUCGCCUUGGAGAGGUGUGGUUCGCUUUGGAAAGAAAGGAAAGCUAAGUCCCAGGUACAUUGGACCUUAUGAGAUCACUGACAGGAUUGGUGAAGUUGCUUACAGGUUGGAGCUACCUCCAGAGUUGUCUAAGGUACAUAAUGUGUUCCAUGUCUCGAUGCUUCGGCAUUAUGUGUCAGAUCCUUCACAUGUGAUUCCUCCUCAACCAUUGGAAAUUAAUCCGGACUUGACGUACGAUGAGGAACCAGUGACUAUACUGGAUUGGAAAGAUAAGACCUUGAGGAAUAAGACCGUGAGCUUGGUAAAAGUAUUGUGGAGGAACCAUUCAGCGGAAGAAGCUACUUGGGAGACAGAAGAACGGAUGAGAGAUAUGUAUCCAAGGUUAUUCUAUGAGUAUUGAGGGUUUGGUUAGUGGCUGGAAUUUCGGGGACGAAAUUCUAUAAGGAGGGGAGAUUGUCACAGCCCGUCCCGGAAUUUUAAUUCCGAGGACGUGAAAUGACCAAUGUGACCUUAAACGGGAUUAAGGUGUGUAAAUGUUUGACAUUUGUUUUACCUAAAGAUCCUAAACUAUUGUUAUUUAGAAUAUUAUUUUAUGUUAGGGACUUAAACUAGGGUUUAGAUUUACAUUUGUUUGGUCUAAUAAUUUUGUAUUGGACUUAGGUGGGAUCCCCACCUCCUGAAAUCCUUCCCCAAAACCCGUAGGUUGUCUCUCUCCCUCUUUCUUCCUCAUCUCUCCCUCAGAAACACUCUCUCUCUUACUCUCGAACUCUCUCAAGCUCUCGGACAAACACCAAGAACAACCACAAACGUGCACCAACGUCCAAUCUAAGAUCAUCUUCGUGAUCUUGGGAACUUCACGAGCACGGGGGUAUAAGUUUCAGGUAAGUUUCAUUUCUGAAAUCCUAGUUUCAAAACACCCCGUGAAUUGACACUGUUCACGAACUUAAAUUUCGUUGUGUUUUAGGCUAAUCUGAGAUCACCACGAGUCUUAGAAAGUUCCAAGGAGGCUCGGAGUGCCUCGUUUGAACAAAAUGGACGUCGAGAUCGUCGGGUUCGAGUUUGGCCGAAAUUGAGGAAUUUUGGAAGGUAUGAUCUCGUAGUUUUUAGACCUUAAAACCCUUCCAUCGUGAUUGUACAUGUGAAAUGCUUCAUUUUGGUGUAAAAUACAUGAAAAAUGGACGAAAAAACGAAGGAGAAAAGUGGAUUUGAAAUUUUUCCAGAAACCGGCGAACAGUCGCCGGCGGCCGGUGACUCGCCGGAGAAGACAGGGAAUAUUCCGUCAAAACUGACGGAAUAUUCCAACGCCGUUACCGUUACCGUUGGGUAUUUAACGGAAUAUUCCGAGAAUAUUCCCUAACGCCGUUCACUGUACCGUCAGUGUGCACGGCACGUGGCUGCGCGUGGGGGCGCGUAGACCCGUGCCCUAUUUGGCGCGUGGAGGCGCGUGGAGCAUUCAAAAUUUUUUUUUUAAAAAUAUGGGGAUGAUCCUGAGGUUGUGUAGGUCACGGUGGUAUAUUUUAUAUACCCAAUUUGAGCAACAUAUGGAAUUUAUUACCUAGUUGGUUUAGGUGCGUUAAAUGUGCGUUAAAUGAUUGUUUUAAGUUAUUUCACUUCUAGGUGGAACUUUUAACGAGGACGAGCACAUCCAGGGGCGUCAAGGGGGUUACGACCCGGCGACAUACCAGUGAGUGGGCAUUGCUUUCUAUAUAUAUAUACCUAUAUACUCGAUUUCCCCAGAAAUCAAAUUUAAAUGAAAAAUAUACUGAAAUGAAAUGAAAUAUGAUGUGAUUGCCAUGCAUAGAAUGUUAUGGAUAUUAUGAACUGUCGUAUGAUGCAUAUAUGUGUGAUGGUGCUGUGGACGCACAGGUAAGUAUUUAAUUACUGUUAUGUUGAGGAUGAUGAUAUAUUGAGCUCAUAUCCUGCACCAUGGUUUAGUGCUUAUAGUAUUCACCGCAUCGCACGCUCGCCUUGGAUCCAAGUAGAUGCUGGUCGUACAGUCCACGCGGAGUGGGUACGACGGGCCAGUCGUAGAGUGUUAGUGAGAUUAUGACUGGUGGGUGACCUUAGGUUAUUGUAUACAGAUGAUUGAUGAGAGAAGCACUAGAGCGAAUAUUACCAUGAGUCGUUCAGACUGCAUUAGGUGGUUCCGACUUAUGUGCAGAAGGCCGGACAGGUCACGCGGAGUGACUCCGGCAGAGAGUGAGAUUGAUAGAUGUUGAGCUCUAGGUUCAAUCGUUCAGGGCUAUUAGAGGGCCUCCGAUUGAUUAUUUCUUUUACCUGAUUUAUAUUAUGUCAAUGCAUUCAUACUAAACUGCUGAAUUUGGCAUGGUACAUUCUUUAUUGAAUCUGUUAUAAGAUUGUUGAUCGAGACAGUUGAGAUAUAUAUGCUAUAUACUAUUUUUCUGGGAAAGUAUACAGGUUUUCCAAAAAGGGGUUAUAAAUGUGGAUUUAUGAAAUGUUUUGGAAAAGCUUUAUUUUCGCCCACUCACGUUUUCUGUUUUUCGCCCCUCCAGGUUCUAGUUGAUA
RNAcentral lists this long non-coding RNA (7792 nucleotides) under Malus domestica (apple). RNAcentral describes it as "long non-coding RNA (MDOM_LNC007356)". Lineage: Eukaryota; Viridiplantae; Streptophyta; Magnoliopsida; Rosales; Rosaceae. The record is from RNAcentral.